UUCGGUCCCUGAGUAGAGCGGCGCACGGGUGAGUAACGCGUGGAUAAUCUACCCAUGGAUUUGGGAUAACAGUGGGAAACCGCUGCUAAUACCGAAUAAGCUUACGCAUUGUGAAGAUGUGUGAGAAAAGGCGGCCUCUGCUUGCAAGCUGCCGUCAAUGGAUGAGUCCGCGUCCCAUUAGCUUGUUGGUGGGGUAAGAGCCUACCAAGGCGACGAUGGGUAGCCGGCCUGAGAGGGUGGCCGGCCACACUGGAACUGAAACACGGUCCAGACUCCUACGGGAGGCAGCAGUGGGGAAUAUUGCGCAAUGGGCGAAAGCCUGACGCAGCAACGCCGCGUGAGGGAAGAAGGUCUUCGGGUCGUAAACCUCUGUCAGGAGGGAAGAAAUACAUGAGGUCGAACAGGCCUUGUGUUUGACGGUACCUCCAAAGGAAGCACCGGCUAACUCCGUGCCAGCAGCCGCGGUAAUACGGAGGGUGCAAGCGUUAUUCGGAAUUACUGGGCGUAAAGGGCGUGUAGGCGGCCUUGUAAGUCAGGUGUGAAAGCCCACGGCUCAACCGUGGAACUGCACUUGGAACUGCUUGGCUCGAGUACGGGAGAGGGUGGCGGAAUUCCCGGUGUAGGAGUGAAAUCCGUAGAUAUCGGGAGGAACACCAGUGGCGAAGGCGGCCACCUGGACCGUAACUGACGCUGAGACGCGAAAGCGUGGGGA
Molecule: ribosomal RNA, 712 nt
Filed under: uncultured Pseudomonadota bacterium
Lineage: Bacteria; Pseudomonadati; Pseudomonadota
Description: bacterial SSU rRNA
Rfam family: Bacterial small subunit ribosomal RNA
Source: RNAcentral